This 9294-nucleotide long non-coding RNA is filed under the name Marmota monax (woodchuck). Lineage: Eukaryota; Metazoa; Chordata; Mammalia; Rodentia; Sciuridae. The record is from RNAcentral.
CUAGCUCUUCUCUCACUUUCUCUGCCUCCCAGCUGCCCUGGGCUGAGCAGUAAUCCUCUGUGAUGCCCUUCCGCCAUGAAAUUCUGCCUUACUCAGGACCAGGGCUAUGGAAUUGGAGGACCAUGGACUGAACCUCCGAAACAGUGAGCCCAAGAUUUUUGUCCUCUGAGUUGUUCUUGUCAGGUAUUUUGGUCACAGCAACGAAAUGUUUUCUUUGAGAUCCUGUGUCCAAUUUUCCUUCCUUUUAUAAGGAUGCCAGUUAUUGUAUUUGGGGCUCACUCUAUUCCAGUGUGAGUUUAUCUCUAUUUGUUUAUAUCUGCAAUAACCCUAUUUCCAAAUAAGGUCACAUGCACAGGUACCAGGAGUUAGGACUUGACUAUAUCUUUUGGGGGACACAAUUCACCCUCCUAUACAACCAAUUUCAGAGCUGGGCGUGGGGGCGUACACCUGUAAUCCUAGCAGCUCGAGGAUCUAGGAGGAUCGAGGAGGAUCACCAGUUCAAAGCCAGCCUCAGCAACUUAUCUAAGCAACUCAGUGAGACCCUGUCUCUAAAUAAAAUACAAAAUAAGGUUGGGGUUGAGUGCCUCUGAGUUCAACCCCUCGUACUCCCCACCACCUCCCCACCACCCAAAAAAAUCCAAUAUCAGUCUUCACCUUCCUGUUUUUCCUUCUUGGCCUUAGGUUCUAAAGAACUUCCCCACUAGAAGUCUCGAUGUAGGGCUGGGGAUGUAGCUCGUUGGUAGAGUGCUUGCCUUGCAUGCACAAGGCCCUGGCUUCAAACCACUACCAACAACAACAACAAAAAAAUAGUCUUGCUGUAAUCCAGAUGGCCGCGGCAAUUCCAAAUCAGUCUGGAGCUGGGGUUGCCAGCAGGAGUCUGCCCUCUCCCUUUCUACCGUUUAGAGAUUCUCAUGGCACUUCCCAGGGGGAGGAGACAGAGAGAGGCAGGUGGAGGCGGGAAGCCAGAGAGUGGCAUGGAUAAGCGCUUGGACUUUGUAACUCUGUAACUCUGGGCGAGCUUUCUACACCUCAUUUACUUACCGUUUUCUUCAGCUGUCAAGUGUGGAUAAUAAAUCUAUCAUCCUUAUUAGUGUUCAUGACAACCCACUUGUAACACACUCAGCCCAGUGGUAUCCGUGGCUGCUACCUUGGUUGUCCUUACUGUGGCUUCCACUUCUCCCUGAAGCAAGUUUUUCUUUCUUCCUUCCUUCCUUCCUUCCUUCCUUCCUUCCUUUCUUUCUUUCUUCAGUUUGUUUUUGUUUUCAUUCGUUUGUUUUGUUUUAGUGCUGGGGGUGCAACCCAGGCCUCGUAUAUGCUAUGUGCAUGGUCUACCAUGAGUUAGUCCCUCAGCCUCCUGGCCCUUUUUAUUUUGAGACUGUCUUACUAAAUUGCCCAGGUUGGCCUUGAAUUUGCUUCCAAGUCACUGGCAUACAGGCCCAGGCCUCUCAGCUAGAGGCUACUGUUUUGAAUGAAGCUGCAGUAGGGCCAAACAGACCAGGCUGAAAGUCAAAAUGGAGUCACUCAUGCUAAAAGUUAAACCUACAUAAAUAUAAAAUAUAAAUAUAAAUAUAAAUAUAAAAUAAGAUAUUGUGUCCACCUAUAAUUAAAAAUAAUUUAAAAAAAAUUAAACCUAAGCUGGUAGUUGACCUUUUGAGAAAUCAAUAUUAUAUAGAGAGAUAAUAGCAAAUUUUUGCCGGGCAUGGUGGUGCACGCCUGUAAUUCCAGUGACUCAGAAGGCUGGGGCAUGUGGAUCACAAGUUUGAGAAUAACCUCAGCAACUUAAUAAGAACCUGUCUUAAAAUAAAAAAUAAAAAGGGUUGGGCAUGUUGCUCAGUGGUUAAGCACCCCCAGGUUCAAUUCCUGGUACCAAAAAAAAGGGCAAAUUUUGCAAACAGGUCAGUUUCAACUGGCAUGAAAAUUUAAUCCUUUCACAAUGAAAGUAACCUGAUGCUAACCAAUUCAGUCAUUUUCCUAUUGUUCUGGAUCUCAGUCCCAGCCUUAUAAGAAAAGUAACUUGGAAAUAACAAGUCCUUGUUUUGUUUGUUUGUUUCUGCUUUUUUUUUUUUUUUUGGUACUUAUUUAUUUCGAGGCAGGGUCUCACUAAAUUGUUAGGGCCUUGUUAAAAGACUGAGGCUGGCCUUGAACCUGUGAUCCUCCUGCCUUAGGACCCCAAGUUGCUGGGAUUACAGGCAUGCACCACCAUACCUGGCAACAGUAGUACUUCUCAGGAAGUUCCAAGGGUUAUAAGGAUUGAAAGUGACAGACAAGAAACCCUCUAGAUCUGUAAUUUCUAAUUUUUAAGUAAUGGAACUUUUUUUUUUCCUUUUCUUUUUCUUUUUGAGAUGGGUUCUCCUUAUGUUCCCCAGGCUGGUAACAAAUUUUCCCACCUCUGCCUCCAGAGUAGCUGUUGAGCUUAUUUUUUUAGAAGUCCAAGUGUUUUUUUGCAGGGCAUGAUGGUGCGUGCCUCUAAUUCCAGCUACUCAGGAGGCUGAGGCAGGAGGAUCACAUGAUCAAGGCCACCUCAGCAAUUUAGUGAGACUCUGUCUCAAAUGCUGGGUUCGAUCCUCAGCACCACAUACAAAUAAAAUAAAGAUGUUGUGUCCACCGAAAACUAAAUAAUAAAUAUUAAAAAAUAUUCUCUCUCUCUUUAAAAUAAAUAAAUAAUAAAAAAAUAAAAAUAAAAAAGAGCUGGGAAUGUAACUCAAUGGUAAAGUGUCUCUGGGUUCAAUCUCUGGUACCCCAAACAGAACAAUAGCUUCCUUUAUUUAUUUAUUUAUUUUAGCAAUGGGUUUGAUGAGUAUACUUCAAACUUGGAAAAAUCCAGACAUUUCCAUUUUUCUGUAUAUAAGCAAAAACAAAAUGUAUUGUAUCGUUUUUAUGUGAAUGCUUUGGAUAAAUGAAGAAAUGGAGUGGAGUACCACAGAUGGUUUGGUAACUUUCAUUUGUUACAAUACAGUUCAUUUUGAGAGUUCUCACUUGUCAAGUCUACAAAUCUGGUUUGUCCUUCAGUUCUUUGGAUUGCACCAUAAAGGUGCCAUGCUUAAAUUAGGUCAUUUCAACUGAAUGAAAGCCCUUGCCCCUUCUCACACUGCCGGCAGCUGGACGCUUUGCUGAGGGGGCCCUGAGAUGUUUUCAGGAAGCCUCCCAAGCUUUUAGACUUCCUCUGGUUGAAGAAGCCCAGGUCCUGGGGAGUUUCACUUUGAAAGUGGGGCCACCCACAGACUCAGAAGAUCAAGGACUUCCCCCAAGCCACCUGUCUCAGGGGCAGGAAAGACCCAGCAGAGUCCCAGGAGCUUGCUGUGACCCACAGUUCCUGGGCAAGUCCUCCUCAAUUCUGUUUUGCCCCCAGGGCCUAUCAGUGGUGAAAGAUAAAAAGAGAAGUAAAAUAAACACCAUAAAUAGGGUAAAGGUUUCUGAAUAAAGAGGCAGCUGUAAAACAAAACAGACUAUAAAAAUAUAAAGAGAUUAAAACCCUUUUGGGGCUAGACCUUGAUCUAAACAAGGACUCUCCAAGAACAGGACCUCAGGAUGGAGGCUGGGAGUACUUCCCUAAGAAAGCACCCCCUCCUCCCUGCAGGAAGUACUCCUCCUGGCUGGAGUGGCCUGGGCUCCUCUUAAGGGCCUCCUUUUUUAGGGCCGCUCAGUGGACUCACAGGGCUGAACUUUUUCCAAAUCAGUGGCUACACAUGUGAAUCUUAAAAGAAAAAACAAUUUCCCAGUGGUACAGUGGUUCAAUUGAGGUGGGGAGGUGUGUGAUCAACACUAUGAAUUAACAAUACCCUGGCUGAUUCGUGCUGUUUGCCAAUUUCCAUGGUGUAAAUACUCCUCCCUGACUGAUUUUAACUUACUAAUGCUUUACUAAUUGGCUUAUAAAUUAAUUCAGUAUUCAGAAAUUGGCACACAUUUAGAAACUCUGGUUUUUCUAUUUUGCUAAGAAUUUCCAAUACGUACCAUGAACACUGAAAUUCAGAGCAGAUCAAAGUUCAAUAAAUUUGGCUAAGAGCUGAAGGAAAUGAAGUCAGCAUACAAAGGAGAUACCUGAAUUCCCAUGGAUUUUGUUUUUAUUGUUGUUCAUUUGUGGUGUUUUUUUUUUUUUCUGUAGGUGAUUGAUGUCAGGGUACUCCACCACUGAGCCACAUCCACAACAUUUUUAUCUAUCUAUCUAUCUGUCUAUCUAGUUGAGAUAUCUCUCUAAAUUGCUGAGGCUGUCUCAAACUUGUGAUCUUUUUGCCUCAGACUUCCAAAUAGCUGGGAUUACAGGUGUGCACCACCAUGCCUGGCUUCCACUCCAUGUUUAUUGUGGCACUGUUCAUAAUCACCAAGAUAUGGAAACAGUCUAGGUGCCCAUCAACAGAUGAAUGCAUAAAGAAAACAUGAUGCUGUAUUAAUUACUUGGCAUAAAGAAGAAUGAGAUCUUGCCAUUUGCAGGAAAAUGUGUGGAACUGGAGGUCAUUGCCUUAAGUGCAAAAAACCAGACACAGAAAGACAAGUUCUCAAGUUUUCUCUCAUAUGUGGACAUUUAAAAAAGAAGUGGGAAAAAAAGAUUACCUGAAAAUAGAAGAGGGAUUAUUAUGGACUGUGAAGGGGGUCAAAGGAGGGAGGAGUGAGAGAGGAAGGAGGGAGAGGGCCCAAGGAAGGGUGGACAUGAUCACUGCAGAUGUAAAGUAUGUAAGGAAAUGUCACAGUGAAACCCAUUAAUGUGUACAAUUAAUACAUGUUGAUAAAUUUAAAAAGCAUUAAAUUAUUGAUUGUCAAACAAUUUACAAAGCAAUUUUCUUAAGAUCAUUUCAGAAAGUUUAUAGCAAAAAAUAUUUCAUGUGGGUUGCAGGAGUGUGUGUGGUCUUUUUGUUUGUUUGUUUCUUUUUUCUGUAAUCCUGGGAAUGAAGCCCAGGGACACUUUAGCACUGAGUCACAUCCCCAGCCCUUUUUGUUUUUUGAGACAGGGUCUUGCUAAGUUGCCCAGGAUGCCUUGAACUUGCACUCCUCCUGCCUCGGCCUCCUGAGUAGCUGGGAUUAAGGCGUGUGUCACCAUGCCCAGUUUACAGGCAUGUUCUAGUAUGCUUGAUAUGAUAUGCAAGAGUCCUAAAAAAGGAAGUAUUUCCAGGGCCUACCGAAGAAACAUAAAGAGAGUCCCCACUUUGGGGAAGUGAACAAAAGCAGCACCCACUAACUGUUGAUGUUCUCUGCAGGAUCCGUAGAAGUCCACUGAGCAUGUUCACCGGGAAGGAAACUGGAAUUCCUAGAGGUAAAGCCACUUGCCCACAGCCAAGUCUCAAUUAGAACUAGAGAUGUUGGUGUGUGUGUGUGUGUGUGUGUGUGUGCGUGCGCGCACGCGCGCGUAUGCGUGCAUGCACAUGUGUUGCAUGCAUAGUGCUGUGGAUGGAAUCGAGGACUUCAUGCAUGCUAAGCAUGUGCUCUGUGACUGAACUGUAUACCCAGGUCCUCAGCACUGUGGACAGAAGAACUCAGCCUGCUUUAAAACAUACCAAAAGGGUCAUACUGAAAGCUCACCCUGGAACAUUCACGGAGGGGCACCCCUUGCUUCUCCCCUUUCUUGACCAUCUGUCGUGCCCUGCAGGUGACCUGGCAGACCACAGUUGAUUCCUCCAGAACACAGGGUGCAAGAACAGGGCUGUGAUCUAGCAGCUUCCUGAUCCCAGUAGAAAGCUUAAUUAUCUCAUUUCCCUGACAGUUCAGCACAUCUCUCCAAGACAGGAGGGGCCAGAGGGCAGGAGGGGUGAAGCCAGGAAAGAUUUCAGAAUGUCUGUUGAAAGUCAGGUCAGGAGAUACAGGGAGUCACAUGGGAUGUGGUUUAGAAGCCAACACUGCUGAUCCCCAGGCAGCCACAUAGUGGGAGCAGCUCCCCGCAACCCUGGGGAAGCCCUGGGUUAUGUAACCCAUGAAGUCAAGAGAGCAGUUGAAAGUUCCCAUGAAGAAAACUUUUUCUCAAGGAAGAGAGCCAUUCCCACAUUUCCCAUGGCCACCCACACCUCCAGGGGUCUCCUUAUAGCUCACUUCAAUCAUUUGCAAAGCUAUCGGACCCUCCUGAGUUAGGGGAAAGUUGAGUCCCUCCCCAACCCCACAUUGGGAAAGAUUUAAGGAUUUCCUGGGAAGCCAGGAAAACUUUCAGAAUGUCUUCUGAGGGUCAGGGAAGGAGGUAUGAGGAGUCACAUGGGAUGUAGAUCCUUGAGGUGAUCAGAAAUCUGAGGUCAGCUGCCUCUUUCCAUAAUUCUGCAUAAUUAGUUUAUGGACCUGCCCUAGGGGUCAGCACUUCCUCAACCAGCCAGAAGUGCCUCAGGAGUGAGCCUGGGGGGAAUAAAGCAGAUGAUUCCCUCUAUUAGCAGUCACUCCAGCCCCCCUGCUGGGCCUGCUGGGCUGGGGGGUGGGGGCAGAAGAAGUGCCCCAAAGAGCCCUCAGGAUAACCUAGGAGUCCUGGCCUCCCACGUCAGACUCAGGGACUGAGGAUUCUGGAGAGGCUCUGUUUUCACACACUCCAUGGCAUGAUCCCUGGGCAGGGUAGCUAGGCACACUGGGGAGGAAGGAAGGGCAGGUUCCCUGUGUACUGGUGAGGGUAUCUGCACCCUCUGGUCCCCAUGGCAACUUGCUGUGUGUUUGAAGUUGUAUGUAGAUUAUGAACACUCCAUCUGGGCUGGGAUUGUGGGUCAGAGGAAGAGCGCUUGCCUAAGUAUGCUUGAGGCACUGGGUUCGAUCCUCAGCACCACAUAAAAAUAAAAUAAAGAUAUUGUGACCACCUAUAACAAAAGAAAGAACACUCCAUCUGGUGAGAGCAGAUGGAACUGGGCAGAAGCACAGUCAGGACUCUGAGUUUUGGCUAUGUGGCUCCCCAUUAUUAAGAAGACAAAUAUAAAAGCCAGAGGGGUCAGGUGAGGGGUGUAUUUGCACAUGUUGUGUGGUAUGUGUAUGUGAUAUAUGUGUGUGUGUUGUGUGAUAUGUGACACAUGUGGUGUAUGUGUGUUGUGGUAUGUGGUAAUGUGCAUGUGGUGUGUGUGAACUGUAUGUGACCUAUGUAGUGUAUGUGUGGUAUAUUUGUGUGUAUGUGUGUGUGUGUGUGUGUGUGUGUCUGGGGCAUUUUUGUGCUAUAUGAUAUGAAGAUUAGAACCUGACUCUAUGUGUGACUAGAAGGGGAUUUUUCAGGGAAGAGACUAAUCAGAGAAAAUGGGAAAUUGAGGUCAGAAUGGAUAAGGGAAUUGAAAAAUAGGGCAAUGUGUGAGUAGGCAGAAAAAGACAAGCUCUUUCUCAAGGACCCACAAGAAUCCCAGAUAGAAGGUCUGAAUCAGCAGGGAGAGAAACCCUGCAGCACAGGGAGGGUUCCUCAGGACCUGAGGGCACCCCCACCUGCAGAAGGGAAAAGAAGGAAGUACUUAGUCAGGAAUAAACUUGGCUACAAGGAACAGAAAGCUUGAUAUGCAGUAUUAAAAAGACAGUGGCUUGUCUCACAUAAUAAAAUAUCUGGAGGUGGGUGGGGCCGGUGCUCAGAAAGUCAGGGCUGGAAGAUCUGGGGGUCUCUUGGCCUUUCCCUGUAGAACUGUGGUUGCUGCAGUUUCAAAUAUCAGGAGACUUUUCACAGCAGGAAGAAAGAGAAGGCAGCUGUCCCAGGAGCACUCCUUCCACUUAGAUCCUACUGGCCAGAAUUGGCUACUUGGCUUCCCCUAACUGCAAGGUAGGCUGGGAAAGCAGAGCGCAGGGUUGCCAUGAUCCAUAGUGUGGCCUGGCUAUUCUUCGGUUGCUCCUAACAAAGACAGGGUGCUAUCAAUAAGGAAGAAGGGGAAAUGGAUAUUGGGGAGGCAAUCAAGCCCUGUAAGGGAGACCGUGGGUGUGAACAUUACUGAUGAAGGCUGAAUUAAGAUAAUAUUCCAAAGUCAAUAUGAAUAAGCUUCAAGAAAACUGUAAGGCCCCACUUUGGGAAUGGUCACCCAAAACCCCAAAGUCAGGGCCCUGGCCCCUUUUUGCAACCCCUCCUGUCUCAAUUACUCUUCAUAGUAACCUCAUGAUGACAUAGAUGCUAUUAUUUUUCCCACACUACAGAUUGUGGGAGACCAACCUUACACGUGACUGGGUUACACGCUCCAGCUGGGUGCUGAGGCGCUCAGACACAGAAAUGUGGCAGAGCUUUCCCCACCCUUCUUGGAUGCGAGGGUCGCUAUCUCAUGCAUGGGUGUGUCUUGCUACAGCCCCAUGGGUGAAGCUACGCUCACCUGUUCCUUUGUAAUAUAACCCCUUGCCCUGUUUAGGAUAGAAUCUUCCAUGGAAGUGCCUUGUGUGUGUCCCCUUCUUUUACUGUGCCCUUGGAUGUGGCCUACCCAGGUGUCAGUCAACCUGCUGACAGUGGACAUCAUGAAGAUAGACUCAGCCCCUGAAACCUGAUCCCCUGCCUCAUUUGAAUAGCUUCCCUCAAUAAAAGGGGUCAGCAGGUGCUCUCGCCUUCUCUCUCUUUCUGCAGACCCUUAAGGUCAGAGGAGCCAUCACAGCGACUCCAAAGAAAAAGGUAUUUGUGUCUCUUGUGUGGCUAUUUUGUGCAGCCCAGUUAGCCCAGUUUAACUAGAGUGACCCCUGAGUCUUUUAGUCUCGAGAACAGAGAAACCCGGCAACAGAUGAGAAAGGAGAGUCUCAGCCCAGUCUGGUAGUGUGCACCUGUAGUCCCAGCUACUGGGUAGGUUGAGGCAGGAGGAUCCAUUGAGUCCCAGGAGUUCAAGGCCAGCCUGGACAACAUAGCCAGACCUUCAUGUCUCAAAAGAAAAAAGAAGGCAGAGAAGAAGAUAAGAAGGAGAUAGAAGAAAAUAAGAUAAAAGGAGAAGAAGAAAAUAAGGAGAAAGAAUGGGGUAGGCCAAGCAGGGGGAGUUGAAUCAUACAUGGCUCAAGAUUAUAAAGCUCUCAUAAUAUCUUCUUUAGCUUUGUGGCCCUAAUCUCUUUGGCUAUUCCUUUUAGGAAGUUAUCCCAUCCUUCUUCACUCAUCUGUGGCCCUCCCACAGGACCAGAACACCAGCAAGGAGGCUUUGAAGUCAGACAGGCCUGUGUGCAUAUCCACGUUCUUCUACUCAGCAGUGUGAGGCCCUGAGCAAACUCCACGGCACUCUGAGCCUCCUAAACAGGGAUAAUUCUCAAGAGGUUGUGGGAUUAAAUAGGAGAUAACAGCAGAGUGCCAAGAAAUGCAGGUAUUUGAUAAACCCCAGUGCCUUCCUAGAGAGAGAGCAAUCUGGAAGCUCUGCCCCAACUAGCCCUGCUCUUAUGAAAACCUAUAUCACAUUGUUUCCCAUCUUUUCCUGAGAAAACCCA